This 268-nucleotide long non-coding RNA is filed under the name Cricetulus griseus (Chinese hamster). RNAcentral's name for it is "lncRNA (ENSCGRG00015030957.1)". Lineage: Eukaryota; Metazoa; Chordata; Mammalia; Rodentia; Cricetidae. The record is from RNAcentral.
CUUUAGUGCUGAUCACAGACAGGGCUAGCCUCUAGGAAGAACGGUUUGUGGAGGUUCUCCUGGUCUAUUGAUUGCUUUCCAUCACCCCACAAAAUGCAUACCAGCUGGGGACGAGGAUGGCUUCCCACUAGAAAGGAGUGUGAAGAGAUACAUUCCGUCAUGGUGGGAAAGGCACGGCAGCAGGAGCAGGAGGCUAGCUGGUCAGAUUGCCUCUGCAGCCACGAAGCACAUAUGUGAAGAGGAAAUGAGACCAGGCUACAGAACCUCA